AUGCUAGUGAAACUGUGGAUUGUGUAGUUUUCCUGUGACAAUGGAUUUUGCCCUUGGACUUGUGCACACUUUCGUAUCAUCAGUGUAUUUAUAAGGACAUUUAUUUCCAGUUUCGGACACCACAGGAUGGCGGCCGAAACUAUAUCCAUCCCUGCUCCUUUCCUGAACCCCAGAGAAGCGUUCAAGAAGAAAUUCCUGUUCCACGAACCACAGAUCCUUUCCUGAAAUACUUUCAGCAUGCUAUACAAUAAAAUAUAUAUCAUAUAGAAACAUUAUUAGCCCGCGUUAUGAAUUCUUAGAGCGAAUGUUGCGGUUCGCGAUAGAACGGCGUUUAAGCUGUAAAUAUAUGUGUUAUGGCAUGGCAGUGCAGUUAGCAAGGAUUGCAGAUACUGCAAUGGCAUGCGGCGUGCGUGCCACACCCCAUUCAUUAGGCGGCGAGUGCUUCCGCGCAUUUAUCAAUCUCCCGCACCAGUGGCAGUAGCGGUAACGCCUCGCCGCCACUACGCCGGACGCCGCCGACGCUGCUUCUCUUGGUUUCGAGCGAACAAAGCCCUCACAGGACAUUUGUUGCGGCAUUAUUCAUAAAAUUAUAUUAUUGAUUGUUACAAUUUUCGAAGUAUACAUACUUUUGUAAUAGUUACUAUUU
This is a long non-coding RNA of Hyposmocoma kahamanoa, 646 nucleotides long. RefSeq lists it as uncharacterized. NCBI's taxonomy places the organism in Eukaryota, Metazoa, Arthropoda, Insecta, Lepidoptera, Cosmopterigidae. The transcript has 3 exons. The record is from RefSeq and is a predicted model, not a curated record.